RNA transcript from Populus nigra (black poplar), 1919 nucleotides. RefSeq lists it as uncharacterized. The record is from RefSeq and is a predicted model, not a curated record. The transcript has 11 exons. NCBI's taxonomy places the organism in Eukaryota, Viridiplantae, Streptophyta, Magnoliopsida, Malpighiales, Salicaceae.
ACUGAUUUGAAGCGCGCUUUCACUGCCUUUCGCUUCUUCAAUUUUUUUUUUUAUAUAAAUUUCCUUAAUUAAUAGAUAAUAAUAAUAAAGCCGCGCAAAUAAUAGUGAGAGAGAGCAGCAGCAGCAACAAUGGGCUCCUCUUCUCCUUCUCUUACCCUUCUUUACUCUUUAAUAUUUGCCUCCUCUGUGUUCCUCUCACGUGCCACUCUCAAAGCUUUUGGAGAUGAGGCUGCUGGCAUUUCAAAUCCAUACAUUCUUGACCCUGAGAAUCCAGCUCUGGAUGUCACCCCGUCUCGCUUGCAUGGGCAUGUGUUUAGCCGUGAUGUUUUCUUUUGUGAACGAGUUAAAGUUUCUGGUCACUCGAGAUGGAAACUCAGUAGUUAUGCUAGUUCAUUUCGAGUUACUUUGGCUCCAUCUGCAGUAAUACCGGAGAGAAUGCAUAGCAAAAUUCAGGUUUGCUUUCACCGGAAUGCUUCCCUUGGAUUAUGCCAGUGUGAAAAGGAUGAUUGGAGGGCUGUUCAGAACGGGCUGUGGAGAACUGCCAUGUCUCCUUAUGUGGAGAGAUAUGUUGAUGUAAAGUUCGCUGGUGAUACUUCUGGAUCUGUUUCAAUCGCUGUUGAUGAAGAUUUACAGCAAUGGCGCCUCAUGUGUCUAGCAGCUGGAUUUGUUUUACUAUUGCUGGCAUCAAUUGUCAGCAGUUGGGUUCCCUUUUAUUAUUGCACUUCAAUGGCUAUUGGGUUUUUUCUGGUCAUUAUAUUCCUUCUUUUUCAGGGAAUGAAAUUGUUGUCAACUGGAAGGAAAAACUUUUUCUAUCUUUCCAUGUAUGGAUCAGUGCUUGGAGCUGGCACUUUUGUUUUACAUCAAACUUCAAUUCUGGUAAAUUCGAUUCUUGUCAAUUUUGGGCUGAGUGAAGAGAUGCACUAUCCAGUCUACAUAUUUGUAUUAGUAGGGAUUGUUCUUGCAGGAGCUGGUUUAGGGUACUGGAUGGUGAGGAAAUUUAUAAUCUCAAAGGAUGGGAGCGUGGAUGAUGAAGUAGCUCAGUUUGUUAAAUGGGCAACACGCAUUAUUGCAUCCACCUUUAUUUUCCAGGAGGGACCACAUGCAUGGUGCAGCAAUAGCAGUAGCAACGGAGCACGAGUCAGCAACAACGGAGCACGAGUAGAGCUUCUACUGCAGGGAUCAAUCAGAUUCUGGGGGUGCGCGUGCUUGGGUCCAGCCCACAGGACAGGUGGCAAGAUAUAGACUGCUGAAUUCCUUAGCAGGUCAGGAGCAAUGAGCCCCCAGAGGAAGAUGCGCAACAGUCCAAAAAGCUCUUCUGCUAGGACCAACUCCCCUGUUAAAGGUGAGUAGCUAGAACCACAAUACAGGUUUGGUAUCACCAUCUUCUCAUUCGGCAACAGUAGAUAAACAGGAUUACUACUCAACCUUCCACAAGACACCAAAGCAAAAGAAGUUCACAACAGCGGGAGGAUUUCACCAGGGAAUCAACACACCAAGCUGUGGCCGAAGGGGCAGCGUCACCGGAAGUCACCAAUUGGAUCAUCGAGAAUGCUGAUCGGAUUCAACUCCUUCCAAGUGAUUAUAGCUCGGAAGAAAUGGUGGGAAGUGAAUCAGACUUGACAGGCGAGACUGUUGCUGGGAGUGGCAUACCAUGCGGCCUUUAUCGGCGCUGAAUGGACCAGAGAAAUCACGGUAGCAAUCAGGGAUCAGGUAUUUAGAUUGUGUUGGAGGUGACACUAGUUUAGGAAAUGUAGUUUGCUGCACCAACAAGCCGAAUGGAUUUUUUUCUAGGAUUAGCCAACCAUUUGGCUAACAGUUUGUUUCCAGAAUUAAUCUCCUAAGGACAUGCAAGGUUACCUUGUAUAAGUAAAAAAUCACAGUUGUGCACAGAAGGGAAAGCCAUUGUUAGUUCUUGAUUA